UUUCCGUAGGUGAACCUGCGGAAGGAUCAUUAAAAAUAUCACACGUUUUAUGGUGUGAUUUAAUAAUCAUCCUACCCUUUGUGAAUUUGUUUUGUUUUGAAAAUUUAUGUGGUCUAUCCUGAUGGUUUUUGGAAAAGUUGAAAAACUUUUUCAAAUCUCAGGACUAGCUUUCAUAGACCUUUUUUUAAAUUAAACUUUUUGUAUUCAUUUGUCUAAAUUUAUUUUUAAUAAUUUAAAAACAACUUUUGACAAUGGAUCUCUUGGUUCUCGCAACGAUGAAGAACGCAGCAAAAUGCGAUAAGUAAUGUGAAUUGCAGAAUACGUGAAUCAUCAAUCUUCGAACGCAUAUUGCACUUUUUUAGUUUACUAAAAAAGUAUGUCUGUUUGAGUAUCAGUAAAAUAUUCUCAUAAAAAAUAUUUUUGUUUUUUAUGGUUAUGAGUGUUUUACAACGAUAACAAGUUGUUUCACUUUAAAUUGAUUUUUUAAAAUAAGCCAAUUUGGUUUUAUUUCUAAAAUUGGAUAAAAUUUUCCCGUAAAAAGGAAUAAACUUUUCAGUUUUAAAAUAAAUCUUAAAUUGGACUUUGAUAAAAAGGAAAUUUAUUUAAAUAACUUGAUCUCAAAUCAGAUAAGAGUACCGCUGAACUUAAGCAUAUCAAUAAGCGGAGGAAAAGAAACUAACAAGGAUUCCUUAGUAACGGCGAGUGAAGCGGGAAGAGCUCAAAUUUGAAAUCUUCAAGUUCUACCUUGACGAAUUGUAGUUUAUAGAAGUGUUUUCUGUUAGUAGAGUGGCAAAAGUUCUUUGGAAUAGGACAUCAUAGAGGGUGAGAAUCCGUAUUUGGUCAUUCUUUCUAGCUUUGUGAUACACUUUCAACGAGUCGGAUUGUUUGGAAUGCAGUCCAAAAUGGUGGUAAAUUUCAUCUAAAGCUAAAUAUUGGCGAGAGACCGAUAGCGAACAAGUACGUGAGGGAAAGAUGAAAAGAACUUUGAAAAGAGAGUUAAACAGUACGUGAAAUUGUCAAAAGGGAAGCGUUUGACACCAGUGUUGUUUUUCCGAAAAUCAAUUACGAAUGUUUGUUUUUGAGAAGUUAUGACUUCAUCGGCUUGCUCUUUCUUUAUGAAACUUUCUUAAUGCACUUUUCGGUUAACAAGUCAACAUCAAUUUCUUUUGUUGUAAAAGGUAGAGGAAGGUGGCUUCCUUCGAGUAAGUGUUUAUAGCUUUACCUCUGCAAUCGGAGAGAUUGAGUCUGCAGCGUAGAUCUUCGGGUUAGAUACAUUUGUGCUAAGUUAUAGCUUGUCAUAGACAACUUGUUGACUAUGUUAGUCUUGUAGCUUACUCGCUUAUGCUAUUU
This 1350-nucleotide unclassified non-coding RNA is filed under the name uncultured Neocallimastigales. RNAcentral's name for it is "partial contains small subunit ribosomal RNA, internal transcribed spacer 1, 5.8S ribosomal RNA, internal transcribed spacer 2, and large subunit ribosomal RNA". The stretch from base 613 to 1350 matches the Rfam family "Eukaryotic large subunit ribosomal RNA", at positions 1 to 604 of the family's 3401-position model. The record is from RNAcentral. Lineage: Eukaryota; Fungi; Neocallimastigomycota; Neocallimastigomycetes; Neocallimastigales.